ACAUGAAUUGAUCCUGAAGGGGGCUGAGCUAGGACCGAGCAGAGGGCAGGGAUUACAGCAGGCUUUACACCCUCGUAUUCCAGAGCUGGGCACAGCCCUGGGCUCAGAGUAGGCGCUUGGGGAGUGUGUUUUGUACAGUGCCUGAUUGAAGGCACGACAUCCAGGCGACCAUACGCCAAGAGCUGGCUCCUGUGCGUCCACAUGAGGUUAUGGGAAGCCAGCUUCCCAAGCACCUUGGAGCAGCAUAGGAAGCCAGGCCGAGAAGCCGAGAACCACAACCCAAGUUGUGUUGCAAGCAAUCUCCACUUCCAAAAGCCAUUUUUGGUCCCCUAAGGCCCAAGAGGAGAAAAUCUCUUACCUUAAUUCUCCAAAUCCUAAAAUACUCCAGCUUUAGUUCAGGGAAGGACAGCUCUGAAGUCCCUCUGGAGUGCUGAACGGAUAUGUAUUUUUUCCAGAUU
RNAcentral lists this long non-coding RNA (458 nucleotides) under Equus caballus (horse). RNAcentral describes it as "lncRNA (ENSECAG00000052612.1)". Lineage: Eukaryota; Metazoa; Chordata; Mammalia; Perissodactyla; Equidae. The record is from RNAcentral.